CGGCGGACGGGUGAGUAACACGUAGGUAACCUACCUAUAAGACUGGGAUAACUUCGGGAAACCGGAGCUAAUACCGGAUAAUAUUUCGAACCGCAUGGUUCGAUAGUGAAAGAUGGCUUUGCUAUCACUUAUAGAUGGACCUGCGCCGUAUUAGCUAGUUGGUAAGGUAACGGCUUACCAAGGCAACGAUACGUAGCCGACCUGAGAGGGUGAUCGGCCACACUGGAACUGAGACACGGUCCAGACUCCUACGGGAGGCAGCAGUAGGGAAUCUUCCGCAAUGGGCGAAAGCCUGACGGAGCAACGCCGCGUGAGUGAUGAAGGUCUUCGGAUCGUAAAACUCUGUUAUUAGGGAAGAACAAACGUGUAAGUAACUGUGCACGUCUUGACGGUACCUAAUCAGAAAGCCACGGCUAACUACGUGCCAGCAGCCGCGGUAAUACGUAGGUGGCAAGCGUUAUCCGGAAUUAUUGGGCGUAAAGCGCGCGUAGGCGGUUUUUUAAGUCUGAUGUGAAAGCCCACGGCUCAACCGUGGAGGGUCAUUGGAAACUGGAAAACUUGAGUGCAGAAGAGGAAAGUGGAAUUCCAUGUGUAGCGGUGAAAUGCGCAGAGAUAUGGAGGAACACCAGUGGCGAAGGCGACUUUUCUGGUCUGUAACUGACGCUGAUGUGCGAAAGCGUGGGGAUCAAACAGGAUUAGAUACCCUGGUAGUCCACGCCGUAAACGAUGAGUGCUWAAGUGUUAGGGGGUUUCCGCCCCUUAGUGCUGCAGCUAACGCAUUAAGCACUCCGCCUGGGGAGUACGACCGCAGGGUUGAAACUCAAAGGAAUUGACGGGGACCCGC
This 844-nucleotide ribosomal RNA is filed under the name Staphylococcus sp. Its description in RNAcentral is "bacterial SSU rRNA". It matches the Rfam family "Bacterial small subunit ribosomal RNA", at positions 96 to 924 of the family's 1533-position model. Lineage: Bacteria; Bacillati; Bacillota; Bacilli; Caryophanales; Staphylococcaceae. The record is from RNAcentral.